CAACCUGCCCUGUACUGUGGAAUAAUCAUUGGAAACGAUGACUAAUACCGCAUGUGGUCCUCGGAAGGCAUCUUCUGAGGAAGAAAGGAUUUAUUCGGUACAGGAUGGGCCCGCAUCUGAUUAGCUAGCUGGUGAGAUAACAGCCCACCAAGGCGACGAUCAGUAGCCGACCUGAGAGGGUGAUCGGCCACAUUGGGACUGAGACACGGCCCAA
This 214-nucleotide ribosomal RNA is filed under the name uncultured bacterium. Its description in RNAcentral is "partial 16S ribosomal RNA". It matches the Rfam family "Bacterial small subunit ribosomal RNA", at positions 122 to 334 of the family's 1533-position model. The record is from RNAcentral.